RNAcentral lists this ribosomal RNA (235 nucleotides) under uncultured bacterium. RNAcentral describes it as "partial 16S ribosomal RNA". It matches the Rfam family "Bacterial small subunit ribosomal RNA", at positions 99 to 334 of the family's 1533-position model. The record is from RNAcentral.
CGGACGGGUAAGUAACGCGUGGAUAACCUGCCUCACACUGGGGGAUAACAGUUAGAAAUGGCUGCUAAUACCGCAUAAGCGCACAGUACCGCAUGGUACGGUGUGAAAAACCCAGGUGGUGUGAGAUGGAUCCGCGUCUGAUUAGCCAGUUGGCGGGGUAACGGCCCACCAAAGCGACGAUCAGUAGCCGACCUGAGAGGGUGACCGGCCACAUUGGGACUGAGACACGGCCCAA